UACGUAGGGGGCAAGCGUUGUCCGGAAUCAUUGGGCGUAAAGAGCGUGUAGGCGGCUCGAUAAGUCCGCUCUGAAAGCCCGGGGCUCAACCCCGGGAGGCGGGCGGAUACUGUCGAGCUAGAGUCCGGAAGAGGCGAGUGGAAUUCCUGGUGUAGCGGUGAAAUGCGCAGAUAUCAGGAGGAACACCAAUGGCGAAGGCAGCUCGCUGGGACGGUACUGACGCUGAGACGCGAAAGCGUGGGGAGCAAACACGG
Molecule: ribosomal RNA, 254 nt
Filed under: uncultured bacterium
Lineage: Bacteria
Description: partial 16S ribosomal RNA
Rfam family: Bacterial small subunit ribosomal RNA
Source: RNAcentral